GAUGAACGCUGGCGGUGUGCCUAAUACAUGCAAGUCGAACGAGACCUUCGGGUCUAGUGGCGGACGGGUGAGUAACACGUUGGUACCUGCCCUCAACUGGGGAAUAACUGCCCGAAAGGGUGGCUAAUACCGCAUAUCCCGCCAGGGUAAAGUCGCAAGACGGUUGAGGAGGGGCCUGCGUCCCAUUAGCUAGUUGGUAGGGUAAUUGCCUACCAAGGCGACGAUGGGUAGCUGGAUCGAGAGGUUGACCAGCCACACUGGGACUGAGAUACGGCCCAGACUCCUACGGGAGGCAGCAGUAAGGAAUCUUCCACAAUGGACGAAAGUCUGAUGGAGCAACACCGCGUGCAGGAUGACGGCCUUCGGGUUGUAAACUGCUUUUAUAGGGGAAGAUUAUGACGGUACCAUAUGAAUAAGCACCGGCUAACUACGUGCCAGCCGCCGCCGUAA
Molecule: ribosomal RNA, 450 nt
Filed under: uncultured bacterium
Lineage: Bacteria
Description: partial 16S ribosomal RNA
Rfam family: Bacterial small subunit ribosomal RNA
Source: RNAcentral